Long non-coding RNA from Uloborus diversus, 3680 nucleotides. RefSeq lists it as uncharacterized. The transcript is spliced from 2 exons. Lineage: Eukaryota; Metazoa; Arthropoda; Arachnida; Araneae; Uloboridae. The record is from RefSeq and is a predicted model, not a curated record.
UCUGACGUGAGUAAUAUUUUCCAAAGUUGAAUGAAUAGACAGAUUAAAAACUAGAAAGAGGGGAGGGCAGCGAUCCAACAUUUUGAAGAAGCGUGCUAAGAAUAAGCAACCACACAACUUUCGAGACAACCUUUUCUAUUGUGCGUUCUGAGCUAUUCGGAUUGCUGCGUUGAAGCUGCUUUCCGCGAAUCCAGGUGGCAGACCAAUCAUGAAGCUCAUUUACGUCUUCGUCCUUGUUCUAAUCAUCUCUGGCAUUUCAUCGUUUGCGGCCCCGAGUAGCAGCUUUAUUAGUGAGGAAUCCACCAACCACUUGAAACGACAAGUAUCGAUUCAAGGAAUCACCAAACCGCUGUGCGACAUGUUCGGCUGCAACUGCACACCACCGAAGGGAGCUAAGUGCUGCAGAGGAUAUCGCUUUGAUAGAAAAGCGGGAAGAUGCCGCAGAAGAGCUUGAGAAGGAAAGUCAAGUGCACCUCAGCAUUGUUGGCGCUCUGUGAAAGAGUCAAAGCAUCAAAUUCGUAGGAAAUGGAAAGGGCAGUGAACGCGAUAAGCAAAUCAAGAGCGAAGAUUGGAUAUUUCUACGGAAAGUGAAUCUGAAUCAAAGUGAUAUAAGCUUACCAAGUUCCUUUCAUUACAAGGAAGUUUGGCGCGAACUUUCUUUUGAAAUUUAUUUCUUACUGUGAACAAAGACGCUCCCCCUGCCACUCAAAAAAACUUUUUUCUCCAACGCUUGAUUACAGCUACUCAUUCUUUUCUUGUUUUCCACCGGUUUUGAAGUGAACUUGUCAAAAACUGAGCGCCAAUAAAUCUGAACUGUACUAUAAAUCCAAUUCAACGACAAGUCGCUUGAAGGUGUAGUUUUUGACAUCAACUGGAGAUCUAAAGCCCUUCAUUUGAUGCAAAACAAUCAGCGUCAUCUGAUUUCCACCGAAAACAAUUGACAAAAUUCAGGGACUCUUGUUCUAGAGAUCAACAUCGCUCCCUGGCAAGAAAAAUGAAACAACUCAAAAAAAAAAAAAAAAAAAAACAGCAUUGGGGAGGACGAAGUUUUACGCAUUAGUCGCUUUAAAUGCUUUAGUCUCAAAUAUAAUAGUACGCUCAAAAUCAUUAUGACUUUUCACUGGUUAGUUUUCGUUGUUUAAAUUAAUGAUGCAUAGGGUAACGGCACAAGAAAUAGCACAAAGUUAAAAUAUUAAAUCAAUAGUUAGUACGUUUUUCCGAAAUUUUGAGUUGUGUCACUGGACUAGCCAGGAUGCGAUAUGUUUUCAUAAAACAUGUGGAAAGUGUUUAGAAAAUAUAGGAAAUAAGCCUUUAUAAAUGGUAUUGGAUACUUAGUGAGAGUUAUAGAUAGUAUCUAUAUUGUUAGUUCAAUGUAUCAGCCUAGAUUUUUUUAGUUACUUAUUCGAACUGAUUAUAAAGGUUAUAAAUAUUGAAAGUUAUAAAUACAUGAGCAAGCAGGAAAAAAAAAAUCAUUUUUGCAUUUAUUUUUAUAAAUAUAUUACAAAUCUUCUAUUGGUAUUAUGAUUAAAUCUGCAAAUCAUCCGAACACAAAUAUAAAUUUAAUAGGAAUUACUGAUUUCAUAUACAUUCUUUGAUGAUUGUUAAGAACUCCGCUGAACCCUACAAACGUAUUUAUUUAUGUAUAGUCGUCAUUUUUAUAUAUUUUACUGGCGUUGUUAUUCAAACUAUAAAAGAAAAUGCUAUGCAAUGUAUACACUUUUUCUAUCUAGAUUCCUUUGUUUUUAUAAGCUUUCUUUGAAAAUUAUCAAAACUCGUAAUAAAAUGUGAAAUUAUUUUUCAUUGGACAGUACUGAAACUUCUCAUGGACUAUAUUGACAUGAUUCAGCUUAUAAUGAAAGCCUAAACCUUCCAUGGGGAGGGUGGCCCAAAGCGGGUUGGCCUUCGUAUGCCACACUCCACCCCUUCACCAUGGUGUGUAAACGGAGAUGCAUAUGUAUGUCGUGUUCACCCGAACACUCCCGAGUUUUAAUCCGUCCUAGCGAAGCAGCAAUGAAGCGGCAUGGCGCAACAAGCUCUUUAAAAAAAAAAAGAUACAUUUCUAAAAAAAAAUGAAGUUUUUGUAACUUGUGAUUAGUCGAAGACCUGCUUUUUUUAUUCUUUGACUGUUAAUAAUACUAAGUUAUUCUGACACCAUCCACCUACAAACUACAAUGGUCAUUUUGUUUGUUUCUUUUUUAAAUUUAAGGUUAUAAUUAUUGAAAUAAAAAACAUGCCUCCGGGCAAAGUGGGUAUAGGUUUUAAUCAUAUAUUUAUUUAUAAUUUCUUGACACAUGUGCUGAGUUGGAUUUUCUAUUUCAAUUGGAUAAGUAUAACUUUAAAAAGUUAUUUUUUAGGAUGGCAAUUAGUCUAUUAAUUUAAUCAGUUAUUUCUUUAUGUUUUGUAAACAAACGUGCUGACUUUAAAUUGGAUAUAUAUAUAUUAAUGGAAGGUAGCUAGUCAAUUAUUUUAAUCAUUUAUAACUUCAUUUUUGAUUGGCAAAUGUACCAAAUCACAAUUAGUUAAGCUUACCCGCUUUGGGCCCCCUGGUAGAGCAAAGCGGGCUUUUCAAGUGUUUGUAAUGUUUGGUAAUAAAUAAAUAUUGGGUUUGAAAUAAUGCAAAAAUCACUUUUUAUUUUUAAGUUUAAGAACCCUGUUAGGAAAUAAACCGAAAUUGUUGCGAGAAAAGUCCAAAACUUACAAUUUUCGAGCGUUCUUCGAAAACCUACCCGCUUUGGGCCACCCCAAACUAUACCAAGAAAAUAAUCGAUAGCCUGUGUAAAUUCAUUAGAAGUUACUUUGUCCAUGAGGUUCCUUAGUGUACUUUACAGAUUUCUUCAGUAUGUAAUAGACUUCACGCUGCUCACAAAACUAGCCGUUUUUUUAAGAUUAUAUUUAGAAAAAUUUUGUAUACUAUUUCAUGUAGACUUACCACUAGGGAUGCACCGAUAAACAAAUUGAUCGAUUACCAAUUAAUAGGCAAAAGAUAAUGCCGAUGCCGAUUAGCUACAAUGAUAAUGAUUUUAAUACUAAAAUUUUUCACAUAAAGUUUUAUUAAACUUACAAUUUUGACUUUUCAGAUUAAUUGAAAAUUUCUUUUUCUCUGUGAAUGAUGAUUUAUUUUUCUCCAUUUUCAUUAUUUCUCUUAAAAAUAAUGUUCCAAAAUUUUAUUUUAAUUCUGCAAACCAAUUUUCAAAAUUAUAUUCGGUUGUUAACAAUAUAUAAAAAUUCAAAUAAUUUAGUUAAUAUAGAACGUUGUAUAUACACACUUUCAGUUUAGUAUCGACUUUUUUACGACUAGUAGCCAUUUAACGCAGGCCUUUUAUUUUACGAAAAUUGAGGCAAUCUUAAAGCUCAUUGCUGAAAGUGGAGAAAAGUAGUGACACAUGAUAUGUGUGCAAAAGUUGUAUAGUUGAAAAAUGUAUAUAUUUUUUAAAAAAUGUAAAAAAAUAAUUAAAAAGAAUUAAAAUUCUUUCAGAGUGUUCAUAAAAUUAAAAAUAGCAAAACAUAUUUAACUAUUUUUUUCUCUAAUUAAUCGGUGAAAAUUGAUCAGUAAUGAAUAAUCAACAAAGUGGUCUAUUAUGAUCGAUUACCGAUUACCACCGAUUAAUCGUUGCAUCUCUACUUAUCAUGUACUGUAAAUUUAAAUAGAUUUUCUUUAAUAAAAGUGAAUAAAAGUUGUA